UUGGGGGCUGGAAUGUUUGAUGUGUAUCUAUCCCUUCCUCUCUCAGCCUGCCAUUCACAAUUUUGACCUCUGGCUGAAGCCUGAAGUUUCAGAACCAUGCAGUGAACAAACCUCUUAUUCUGAGCUGUGAAAUAGCAGUGCUGGGUGACUGUGCAUUUCAAGCCACAUUUUGUUUAUCAUUCUGGGAUUUCACGGGACAGAAUGAAGUGCUGAAGUAACCCUACCUGCACUGCAAAAUACAGCUGCUUAGUUCAGAAUCUACACUCUCACAACCAAGAAAAACAAGAAACAUCUCUCUCUGUUGGGGUCCUGUAAGCCAGCUUACCACGGGAGAACAAAUGUCUGAUUCAAAAUCCAAGUAUACUCUUGUAGCAUGAUUUUUGCCAUUGCUGUAUCUUCUGUUCUCGCUAUAAAUAGUUUAAUAUGAAGGCCCACAUUUUUACAGCAAGGUUUCUCCAUUCAGCAUAAAAGAUCUGGUUUCUCCUGUUCAUUCUGUUCACAAUGACUACAUGCUUUGGGAUUCUGAAAAAUGUCAUCUCUUCUGCUGACAGCAUCCAUUUGGAAGUGGGAGAUCUUGACAAGUUCUGUGUUGUGCUCUGUCCAGGACAGUGAGGGAAGGGAAGAACAGGUGGAAAGGACUAUUUGUGUCCUUCUCUUUUGCUCCUCAUCUCAAAGUGGUACUAUUUUCCUAUUGGUUUUCUCCUCACAGGAAAUCAAAAUAAUGAACUCAGACUAAUUCUUAGCUCUUAGGUGGUUUAAGCAGAACAGGUGAAAUUUAUUCACAAAGACACUGUCGAUUGACCUUCCAAACAAAAGGCCUUUAUGAAGUUCACCUGUACAACCGUGCUCUCUUUAUGACUUCAGUCCGUCAGGUUGUAUUAGGAAGAGGAAUUUGUUAGGAUUUUACAGCUGGAUUUUUUAACAGUUAGACUGCUACUUUCAGAAAAAACUCAAUGAUGAAAACACUUUGGGUAGCUGCAUGCACGCAAGUGCUUGCAUGUGGAGGACAUCAAGCCAUAAAGAUGUUCCAGCCACCUUGGCAUGGGAAGGACCAAUUUCACUGGACCAGAUUGCUCUGAGCUCCAUCCAGCCUGGCCUUGAACACUUCUGGGGAUGGGGCAUCCACAGCUUCUCUGGGCAACCUGUGCCAGUGCCUCACCCUUCCACUUUUCCUCAUAGGAGAGGUGCUCCAGUCUGCUGAUCAUCUUGGUGACUUCCUCUGGACUCACUUCAACUGGUCCAUGUCCUUCUGUGCUGGGGACCCCAGAGCUGGAUGCCGCACUGCAGGUGCAGCCUCACCAGAGCAGAGUAGAGGGGCAGAAUCACCUCCAGCUUUCUCUACAAGUGGGAAUUUUUGUCCUUUCCAUUUUGAAAAAUAACAUAAUUGUGGAGAACUGGGAGUGAGAAGUGUCAUAGUCACAAAAGCAGUGUGGGACUGUGGUAGUGUUGAUAACGUGUGGAAGGGGUUUCUUGGGAUAUCACCACUAAGAAGGGGAGGAAUUUCCUUAGAAGAGCCUGGAAAAGGGUGGCCUGGGGUAGAGUGAGGUCUGUCUUUCCCUGAGUUUCUGUGGGUAGAGUUCAGUUUGCUGAUGAGGGCAUCUUAAAUUACAUGUCUGUGUGUAAGCUAGGCAUGUAAGCUCCUCUUAUAUUUGGUGGAAUCUCAUCAGCGUGCUCAGAGGAGCAAGAGAGGGGUCAGGCUCAGUCUGAAGUGACACUGCUCACCUGAAGCUGUCUACAUUGUGGGGAUUGUUUUGACACUUGAGUUUAGGUGUUUGGAUCUCAAACUUGGUUCUUUCCUCUCCCUUACUGACUAACCAGCCUCUGCAUUUGAUAUUGCAAUGGUUAUCCAUGUCUGAUGGAGGUGAAACCUUGCAUUAGGAGAAGAUAUUUCACAAGCUGCAUUUACCUCAAGUAUCAUACUUGGAACAAUUAGGAUGGACUACUCACAUAUAUAUGGUUAUGUUCAAAAUUAUAUUCUGGCAAGUAAAUACCAUGUAAUCUGAAAAAAAAAGAGUCUUACCUUUUUGAUUAAAAGCAUAUUAUUGGAGUGUGUGUGUUUCAUUUUUAUUCUCUUAGUUUAAUUGGUCUUGGACUUUUAGAAGGCUGUUGCUCCUCUCUAAAGUGAAGCUCUUGCUGUCUGGCUCAGUUUACCCAAAUAUAGAAGAAUGUUGAUAACUAGGACCAAUUAAAACUAUUGUUUUGGUAGAAAUCUGAGAUAUGGAAUAAAUUUGCUAGCAAAAUUUUAUCUCUUACAUGUGUAUGUAUGUUUGAUUGGUUGUUCAGGUCAGGCUGUCUGAGAGUAACAAAUGCAGCAGCACAUUUGCUGCUGUUCCCAUUCUCCUCCAUGGGACAGGUUCUCAAGCUGUUUUCCAUAGUGAUUAGUGGUAGAGGCUUGCACUGGUGCUUUGUCAUGGCUCUGGUUUUGACUGGAAGUAUUUGGUGAAUGGAGACUGAAGUAAAGUGGUGUUUUGCUCUGAGGGGCCUCUAGGCACUGCACAAAUGCCAAAAAUAAUGACCUCUGAUGCCAGGGAGGAUUUUCAAUAUUCUCUUGUGUUAUACUUUUCAAAUGCCAGUUCUUUUUAGGUGUUUCUGAAUGUGGACUUUAGUCAGAAGUGUUUUGAUUUUAUCUAAAUUCUGCAGUCAACUGGAGAUUAUUGUGUUGCUGAUGUACCACUGUGGGGAGCAGGGAAACAGCUCUCAAAUGUUAAAGCAUUAAUUUUCUCUGAUGCUGUGUAUCAUCUGUGGGACAAGCAGAAGAUAAGAUGAAUGUUGUGUUUAAUGAGAGACAAUUCUUCCCUUCUCCUUUUUAGUUUUUUUGACCAACUCAUUUUUAAGUACCAUGGGGUUUCCUUGGCUGUAAUGCCAUUAAGUGAAACUUUGAUAUAGUGAUUUAGCCUGGGGAUGGCUUUAAGUGCCUGUGUCCUACUUCUAGUACUUCUGUGCUUCUAAUAAUGUUGAUGGUGUGCUUUUAUAUUGUCAUUAGCUGCUCUUGGAAUUUGCAGGGCUACUUAAAAAAUGAGAAUGAUGUCCAAAUAUGACAGACUCUUGAAGUGAGAGAAGCAUUGCAAGUGCACAGUGAGAGGGCAGCUGGAGUGAGGAAGCAGUACAAUAGCGUGUUUCUUUGAAUUUGGGAGGUGCUAGUGUGCAGCUGAGACCUUUGGCACCUUUGGUGAGGAAAUUUUCCUAUCUGACCAUCCAGGAGCCACUCUGGGAGUCACACCAGCAUGACUUGAGCUGGGACCGAGGCCCCUUCACAGCCACACUCCCCACACUGAAAUGGUCAGACCAGGCUUCCUUACUACCCCUAGCCUGUCUUUCCAUAGCAGAAUCUCAGACAUGCAGAUACUUAAAAUAAUUUCAUCAUUGUGCAAUAACAAAAUAACAACUCGAGCUGCUGUCUCUUCGGAAGGAGCCCAAACAAAGGAAACCCUGGGCUUCUAUAUCCUUAUGGUCUAAGCAGAGGAAAGUCUGUGCUCUUCCUGCUGAGUCACUGGCUCCUGCUGUGCCUCUGAGUCACCUGGCUGGUGCCACAGGUCCCUGGGCCCUUUGCUAUGCAAAGGGUCGGUGCCAGUUCUCAGCCUCUGGCCUCAGGCUCCUGCCACCCAGAGCUCAAUCUGUAGCUCUCACUGCAGCUGCUCACCCAGCCACCUGUACUGAAUGUAUUCCUGAGCACUUGGAAAAGACAAAUACUACUGGUGAUAGUGGCAUGAAACAUCACAAGUAAAUUUCCUUUUGGAGAUUAGGGCAUGUGUAUCCAGUUCUAUCAACAAAUCAACUGUUUAAGAAGAGAAAAUAGAUGAUGUAUUAGGUUUUUUACUUUAGCUUUUGAACCGUCUCUUGUUCUGUUUGUGCAAAGUUGUGAUGCUUUCCUAUUCUCUGAAUAUUCCACCUGCCUUCUUCAGUCUGCCACCCUGUCAGACCGUACAGAUUGACACAUAGCCAUCUCCUGCCUGCCAAUUCAGUCUCCACUUUAUCUGCCAAGCUGAUUUUGUCACCCUAAAGCCUAGAUGAGGAGUGUCUUUCCCCUCCCUAGAUGAUAAGUGUCUUUUCUCAUCUAUACCCCUGUGGAGAGCUAAGAGUUAAUUUGAGUCAGGGUUAGCUUCAACUGUUAAGACUAAUGUAAUAUUUGAUUUUGCUUUGCAAACUGUUGGCUGAAAUGGGAGAUGCUGAUCCUCAUCCCUGUGGUGCAGUGCUGCUAAACCCUACCACCUAUGCCUGCUUCAGAAUUAAUAACCAGCAGAAUGUGUUUGGGGCUUCCCACAGUCUGACUGUGAGCGUGCAGUGGGAGAAGCUCAGCAUGGAUUCCAAGAGACAGCCAUGCCCAUCUCGUGUCCCUCAGCAGCUCACAGAUGUGACCCUUCUUGCAACCUCAAGAGCUGCAACAGUAGAAGCAGCGAGAGUGUGCAGCCCUGGCUGCUGGGAACUCUUUGGGUUACAGGAAGCUGUUACAUUGGCCAUUUUUGCUAAUGCAAACAUUAAUUUCCUGCUUACACAACUUCUAGCAGUCACUAAAUGGUCUGGAGCAUCAAUUCUUGCAUCUCUCUUACCUCCUAGUUCCUUACCCAGAGAUCAUAGUUGUUACUGAUAGGGGCUGUUGCCAGAGGAUUGACUUGGUAGAAUGAAUAUUUCUAAUUCUACCAAUCUAGGAAUUAAUAUUGUGAUGAGGCAUCAAGCUGCACUUCUGGGGUUAAAUGUGUCUUUAAUAUGCAUAUCUAAAAAUAGAAAACCUUCAGCACUGAAUAAGGUAGAGUUACUGCAUAUCUUGAGGCCUUUUUCUAUCUUUAACAAAGAAAAUUUCGUAAGUGGGUAUUAUGUUCUGCCAAUUUUCCUUUUUCUUCUAAUGUCUGUAAGUGCAUCCAUCAACGUUGCUGACCUAGACACCCUCUACUUUUUUUGCCUUUUUUUCCCUUGCUUUAAACAGAAGCAUGACAAUAGAGUCUGUACCUAAUGGUUUUAGAACUGCUAUUAAUCCAUCUUUCAUUCAAGGCCGAUUGCUUUCAAUCUUAGCAGCAUGCUUUAGAUUGUGAAAGAUGUUGUGAAUGUCUUUUCAUUAUUAAAGGGCAGAUGUGACUGAACUUCAGCACACCUAUGCUGAAAAUACAGUCUUCUAUCUAAAUAAAGCUUGUGGUAUGUUUGAAGAUGUAUUUUUAAAUAAUCAACAUUCUUAUUGAGUGAAUAAAAAAAAAUUCUGGAGGUAAAGGCUAUCACAAUAAUAUGUUGUUCUUCAGAUAUGACUGUCUCAAACUUACUUCUCUUUUAGUAAGUUGGAACUUUUGCAUUGUUUUUAGGUUUGUCCUGAAGAGCAAAUAGCUUGUGAGAAUUGUUGACAUUUCAGCAUUAGAUGGUAAUAUCUGAAGUUGAUGAGGAAAACUGAGACAGGAUGAAAAAUGAGCUAACCUGCAAGUGUACUAAACUUUCCUGAACCUUUAUUGUUGACUGUAGAAGAAGAAUGUGAAGUGCUUGUUAGGAUUCAUGCUUAUUUAACUGUCACCAUGGUUUUCUUUCUCUGUAGGGAAGGCUACUUUGUGGCUUGCAAACUGUAGUUAAUGGUCCAUAGUGACUGGUAGCAGAUUAUUUUGGAAAAGUUUUUUGUCUGAAUAAUUAUCAGCUCUGUUUUUCCUAGAUGCUGUUUCAUGUUCUCUUACUCUCUCUUGAAAUAAUUUAGUAUUGGAAGGUCUUAUUUUUUAGAGUAUUUUCUAAUGGGAGAAAAAAAAUAAAGAACGGUGCCAAAUAAAAUGCUUAUAUCAGGUAAGUGUUCAGCAUGUUGAUUAAACUGUCAAAUUCAGAGGAAAUUCAGUUAGUUGUAUAUGUCCAUUGUAAAUACUGCACCUUCUGCUUUUUACUGUGAAGAAAACAGUAUAAGAUAGUACCUAUGUGUUUGGUUCUGGUUUUUUGUUUUGGUUUGGGUUUUUUCCUGUUGACCUUUUAUUGUCUGCUC
This is a long non-coding RNA of Passer domesticus (house sparrow), 5938 nucleotides long. RefSeq lists it as uncharacterized. Lineage: Eukaryota; Metazoa; Chordata; Aves; Passeriformes; Passeridae. The record is from RefSeq and is a predicted model, not a curated record. The transcript is spliced from 3 exons.